This 521-nucleotide ribosomal RNA is filed under the name uncultured bacterium. Its description in RNAcentral is "bacterial SSU rRNA". It matches the Rfam family "Bacterial small subunit ribosomal RNA", at positions 14 to 518 of the family's 1533-position model. The record is from RNAcentral.
CGAUUCUGGCUCAGAUUGAACGCUGGCGGCGUGCUUAACACAUGCAAGUCGCGCGUGAAAGGACUUCGGUCCGAGUAAAGCGGCGCACGGGUGAGUAACGCGUGGAUGAUCUACCCAUGAGUUGGGAAUAACGGCUGGAAACGGUCGCUAAUACCGAAUACGCUCCGAUUUCAUCUUCGGGGGAAAGGUGGCCUCUGCUUGCAAGCUACUGCUCAUGGAUGAGUCCGCGUCCCAUUAGCUAGUUGGUGGGGUAACGGCCCACCAAGGCGACGAUGGGUAGCCGGUCUGAGAGGAUGACCGGCCACACUGGGACUGGAACACGGCCCAGACUCCUACGGGAGGCAGCAGUGGGGAAUAUUGCGCAAUGGGCGAAAGCCUGACGCAGCGACGCCGCGUGAGGGGAAUGAAGGUCCUCGGAUCGUAAACCUCUGUCAGGAGGGAAGAACCGCCACGGUGCUAAUCAGCCGUGGUCUGACGGUACCUCCAAAGGAAGCACCGGCUAACUCCGUGCCAGCAGCAGC